Thermodesulfobacterium geofontis OPF15 is the source of this 276-nucleotide regulatory RNA element. NCBI's taxonomy places the organism in Bacteria, Pseudomonadati, Thermodesulfobacteriota, Thermodesulfobacteria, Thermodesulfobacteriales, Thermodesulfobacteriaceae. The record is from Rfam.
UAUUAGGUUGUGGGCCGGAGUUGUGGAAGUGGGGUGAAAAUCCCCCGCUGCCCCGCAGCCGUGACCGGGGACGAAAGCCGCUUGUCCGCUUUUAUGCGGAUGGGAAAGGAGGUCCCAAGUAGGGUAUUCCCCGAAAGGAGGCUUCCUUUCUUGGGCUAAGAGCUUUUCUUUUUUAAAGCUCUUAGCCGACAGACCACUGGUGCCGAAAGGCACCGGGAAGGUGCGGCGAGUAGGACGAUCCGGAAGCCGGAAGACCGCUCCAGCCCCAAAAAACCC